RNAcentral lists this long non-coding RNA (840 nucleotides) under Monodelphis domestica (gray short-tailed opossum). RNAcentral's name for it is "lncRNA (ENSMODG00000039137.1)". Lineage: Eukaryota; Metazoa; Chordata; Mammalia; Didelphimorphia; Didelphidae. The record is from RNAcentral.
GUUUUCUAUUAUCUAAUUUCUCCUUUAUGCACAGCAUUUGUUGCUCUGGGUUCACCUUAGAGAUUUGGGGUGUGUCUGAAUAGUGAUCUUGUGAAUCAACAUGAGAAAUGCUGAUGUCAUUCUGAUUAGGUAAUGAACUGUAUCUAAUUUUACCAUGAAAUAUCCAUUUAUAGGAGUCAGUCAUAAAUCAUCUAAUGCUACCUAAGACCCUAAGAAGGAAGCAAAAAAGUGUACCAUCAGCACCAAUGACUUUUUAGGUCAUUUCUUGGUCAGCUUAUACAGGAACUGAAUCAAACACGGCAAACUGUCACUGUCUUUUGUCUUCUGUAGUCAGUGUUUUAAAGGCACACCCAAUGUGUGAAGAUGGGCUGGAAUUGAGAACAGUCUGACUUAGUUGAUUAUCCUUGAAAGAGAAAUACAUCAUCGAGAGAGUGGCACUGACUUAGGGGAAAAGCCCGAGAGUGACCUCCUAGUGAAACCUUCAGGCUAAUAAUCCCCACUGUGAUAUCAUAGCUGAAACAAAAUUUGAACACGAGAGCCAGAUUAACAGGAAAGGAGGAGAGAAAAUACUUCAAUGAGUCUCACUGAGAUGGGCAAGAAAGAAGAGACUUGAACCACAAGUCAUUUUUAUCCAGGAAAGAGGACAACCAAGUUUAAGGGAGGCAAAUGCAGGCAAUAUCAUUUUGCAAAUUUAAGUCUACCAGAUCCUGGUGUCAUAUGUAGCCAAAGAGCAAUGGAGAGCUGGAGACACAUUCUAAGACCUGGAGUAAAGCUGGCAUAUCUAUAUAGCCAUCCAGCUUCUUAUCCACCAUAAAAUAAAUCUUGUGGGUGAUUGAGGCA